CAAUGAGUUGUCCCAAGCAGUUUCAGAGUGAUCUGUUGUUUUAUCGAGGAGUGAUUUGAAAUAUGCGAUUGCGUUCACACGGACGCCACACAACUAUGGAAAAAUAAGCGGUGGUGGGGGCUCACGGACCGUUGAGUGUAGAUAGGAAUAGAGGUGCGGAAGACGUGGUGGGGGUAUGCUUAUGUACUUUUCCUUAUAUACAAGAGCUUUGC
Molecule: unclassified non-coding RNA, 212 nt
Filed under: Athalia rosae (coleseed sawfly)
Lineage: Eukaryota; Metazoa; Arthropoda; Insecta; Hymenoptera; Athaliidae
Description: misc RNA ENSAEAG00005001938.1
Source: RNAcentral